UCUCUUCACAGCCAUUCUGUUUCCAGUCCUGAUUCUAAACCCUGAAGUCCAGCAGAAAGGAAUAGGUGCAGAAAGGAGAAAGCUGACUGUGGGCACUCAUUGUGUGCAGCCGUGAGCUCCAACCACCUCUUCUCUAAUGCCGACUUGAGCAUCGUGGUUAUGCAUCACUUAAAGGGCGCCCAUUCUGAGAAAUGUGUUAUUAGGUGAUUCCACUGUAUAAACAUCAGAGUGCAUUUGGAAUAAAACUAAAUGCUAAGGGCCACUCAGGGCUCUUGAUGCAAUUAAGGGAUGGGAAAAAUGAGACACGCCAGGAUGCUGGCGUGUAACCCAGGAGGGUGUUUCAGGGCAAACUGUUCUAGUAUGUAGAAGGAACUCACUGGGAAAUUAUGAUAAAAAUAUACCCAAUAAACUAAUAAUGGCUAUGUCUAUUACCGUCUUAUAAUUAUUAAAAGUUUUAUUC
Molecule: long non-coding RNA, 460 nt
Filed under: Mus caroli (Ryukyu mouse)
Lineage: Eukaryota; Metazoa; Chordata; Mammalia; Rodentia; Muridae
Description: predicted gene 12867 (MGP_CAROLIEiJ_G0003550.1)
Source: RNAcentral